This 19-nucleotide small RNA is filed under the name Karenia brevis. RNAcentral's name for it is "trans-spliced leader sequence SL". The record is from RNAcentral. Lineage: Eukaryota; Dinophyceae; Gymnodiniales; Kareniaceae.
CCGUAACCAUUUGCUCAAG